RNAcentral lists this ribosomal RNA (417 nucleotides) under Parmelia marmorophylla. RNAcentral's name for it is "eukaryotic LSU rRNA". It matches the Rfam family "Eukaryotic large subunit ribosomal RNA", at positions 1 to 413 of the family's 3401-position model. Lineage: Eukaryota; Fungi; Ascomycota; Lecanoromycetes; Lecanorales; Parmeliaceae. The record is from RNAcentral.
AUUGACCUCGGAUCAGGUAGGGAUACCCGCUGAACUUAAGCAUAUCAAUAAGCGGAGGAAAAGAAACCAACAGGGAUUGCCUCAGUAACGGCGAGUGAAGCGGCAUCAGCUCAGAUUUGAAAUCUGGCCCCUUCGGGGUCCGAGUUGUAAUCUGUAGAGAGUGCUUCGGGUGAGACUACGGUCUAAGUCCAUUGGAACAUGGCGUCAUAGAGGGUGAGAAUCCCGUAUGUGACUGUGGCUCGAGCCCAUGUGAAGCCUCUUCGACGAGUCGAGUUGUUUGGGAAUGCAGCUCAAAAUGGGUGGUAAAUUUCAUCUAAAGCUAAAUACUGGCUGGAGACCGAUAGCGCACAAGUAGAGUGAUCGAAAGAUGAAAAGCACUUUGGAAAGAGAGUCAAACAGUACGUGAAAUUGUUGAAA